AGAUUGAACUGAAGAGUUUGAUCCUGGCUCAGAUUGAACGCUGGCGGCAUGCCUUACACAUGCAAGUCGAACGGCAGCGCGGAAUGGGGCAACCCGGCCUGGCGGCGAGUGGCGAACGGGUGAGUAAUAUAUCGGAACGUGCCCUGGAGUGGGGGAUAACGCAGCGAAAGUUGCGCUAAUACCGCAUACGAUCUAAGGAUGAAAGUGGGGGAUUCGCAAGAACCUCAUGCUCCUGGAGCGGCCGAUAUCUGAUUAGCUAGUUGGUGGGGUAAAGGCCUACCAAGGCAUCGAUCAGUAGCUGGUCUGAGAGGCCGCCCAGCCACACUGGAACUGAGACACGGUCCAGACUCCUACGGGAGGCAGCAGUGGGGAAUUUUGGACAAUGGGCGAAAGCCUGAUCCAGCAAUGCCGCGUGAGUGAAGAAGGCCUUCGGGUUGUAAAGCUCUUUUGUCAGGGAAGAAACGGUGGCCUCUAAUACAGGUUGCUAAUGACGGUACCUGAAGAAUAAGCACCGGCUAACUACGUGCCAGCAGCCGCGGUAAUACGUAGGGUGCAAGCGUUAAUCGGAAUUACUGGGCGUAAAGCGUGCGCAGGCGGUUUUGUAAGUCUGUCG
RNAcentral lists this ribosomal RNA (613 nucleotides) under Flavobacterium cupreum. RNAcentral describes it as "bacterial SSU rRNA". It matches the Rfam family "Bacterial small subunit ribosomal RNA", at positions 1 to 594 of the family's 1533-position model. The record is from RNAcentral. Lineage: Bacteria; Pseudomonadati; Bacteroidota; Flavobacteriia; Flavobacteriales; Flavobacteriaceae.